UACAGAGGUCCCAAGCGUUGUUCGGAUUUACUGGGCGUAAAGGGUGCGUAGGUGGUAAGGUAAGUCUGAUGUGAAAUCUCCGAGCUUAACUCGGAAAUGGCAUUGGAAACUGCCUUGCUAGAGUAUUGGAGGGGGGACUGGAAUACUUGGUGUAGCAGUGAAAUGCGUAGAUAUCAAGUGGAACAUCAGUGGCGAAGGCGAGUCCCUGGACAAUUACUGACACUGAGGCACGAAAGCUAGGGGAGCAAACGGG
Molecule: ribosomal RNA, 253 nt
Filed under: uncultured bacterium
Lineage: Bacteria
Description: partial 16S ribosomal RNA
Rfam family: Bacterial small subunit ribosomal RNA
Source: RNAcentral